CCCCUCUGAAUUGGGAAUGGCUGGCAUAGGAGCAGCCCCAGGAGGGUAAGGUCAGGACCACGCAGAUGUGACUGCUGCUCUGCUUGCCCCGCAGUGAUAAGGGCACAGCUGUGGGAAAGCCAGAGCAUCUGCUGUGAGUCACCAAGUGCAAACAGGAUGAUAACAGAGUUAGGCUCAGAAAAAAACAUCCCUUCGGAGACACAGAAGGCAGCACACCACAGAACACUGGCUCCUUUCUACAGAAAAAGGAAACCAAGCAAAGUUCCUUCAGCAAGUUGAGGCCUCCUGGGAAGGAAAUCGGCAAAGGACCCACUUCUGCCUAGACCAGACUAGAGCUGUCCAGAACAAAUGCAAAGUAAGCCACGCAUGCAGUCUUAAACUUCAUAGUAACAUUUAAAAAGUGAACAGGUGAAAUUAAUUUUAAUAACAUAUAUUUAACCCAGUGCAUUCAAAAUAUUA
RNAcentral lists this long non-coding RNA (459 nucleotides) under Piliocolobus tephrosceles (Ugandan red Colobus). Its description in RNAcentral is "lncRNA (ENSPTEG00000026545.1)". Lineage: Eukaryota; Metazoa; Chordata; Mammalia; Primates; Cercopithecidae. The record is from RNAcentral.